Molecule: ribosomal RNA, 373 nt
Filed under: uncultured bacterium
Lineage: Bacteria
Description: bacterial SSU rRNA
Rfam family: Bacterial small subunit ribosomal RNA
Source: RNAcentral
GACGAACGCUGGCGGCGUGCCUAACACAUGCAAGUCGAACGGAGUUCCUUCGGGGACUUAGUGGCGAACGGGUGAGUAACGCGUGAAGAACCUGCCUUUCAGUGGGGGACAACAGUUGGAAACGACUGCUAAUACCGCAUAAUGUUAUUUGGGGGCAUCCUCGAAUAACCAAAGAUUUAUUGCGCAAGGAUGGGCUCGCGUCUGAUUAGAUAGUUGGCAGGGUAACGGCCUACCAAGUCGACGAUCAGUAGCCGGACUGAGAGGGUGAUCGGCCACAUUGGGACUGAGACACGGCCCAGACUCCUACGGGAGGCAGCAGUGGGGAAUAUUGCACAAUGGGGGAAACCCUGAUGCAGCAAUGCCGCGUGAGUGA